Cavia aperea (Brazilian guinea pig) is the source of this 106-nucleotide small nuclear RNA. The record is from Ensembl. NCBI's taxonomy places the organism in Eukaryota, Metazoa, Chordata, Mammalia, Rodentia, Caviidae.
GUGCUCCCUUCAGCAACACGUAUACUAAAGUUGAACAAUGCAGAGAGGAUUAGUCAGGACCCAGUGCAAAGAAGUCACACAAACUUGUGCAGUGUUCCAUAUUAAA